Molecule: long non-coding RNA, 1508 nt
Organism: Carassius gibelio (silver crucian carp)
Lineage: Eukaryota; Metazoa; Chordata; Actinopteri; Cypriniformes; Cyprinidae
Exons: 4
Source: RefSeq, a predicted model, not a curated record
AAAAACGGCUGGGUUAUUUUUUAACCCAAAAUGUUGGGUUGAGUAUGUUGGGUCAUUUUUUUGGGUUAUUUUAUUUCUUUUUAAACACUUUUGGGUAGUUUCAAUUUACCAGGUGUUGGGUUAAACCUGCUGGGUUGCAUCGCUGGGUUGUUUCAGGCCAGCGCUGGGUUAUUUAACGCGCCUUGAAGAUGUUUAAAUCGCUCGCCAACUGUCAUUUUGGAAGAACAACGGGGCAAAGCCACGGCUUUCAACUGUUUUAAGAAAAGCACAUGGAUACAUUUGUGAGAGAAAAACUCGUCGAGUGCAGUCUUAUUGAGGCGUCUAACGGUUGGAACAAACAUGGAAUUCCUUAACCGAGCAGAGUCCACAAAACCCCAUACAAUUGUUGUGGCGAUUUAAAAAUGCCAGCAGAUCUCUCAGGCAUUGAUCAUAAUCAAUGGACAGGUCACCGUAGCCACCCAUAUCCAGUACGUAUCCAGAUGGUGGAUCAACACCUAGAAAGGACCUCUACAUCACUGAAAGACAGCGGAGACCAGGACAACUAGAGCCCCAGAUACAGAUCCCCUGUAAAGACCUUGUCUCAGAGGACCACCAGGACAAGACCACAGGAAACAGAUGAUUCUUCUGCACAAUCUGACUUUGCUGCAGCCUGGAAUUGAACUACAGGUUUCGUCUGGUCAGAGGAGAACUGGCCCCCCAACUGAGCCUGGUUUCUCCCAAGGUUUUUUUCUCCAUUCUGUCACCGAUGGAGUUUCGGUUCCUUGGUUUUCCUAAGUUGGGGACCAUUAAGAUCAAGCGAUAUCAUCGACUUGAUUGCACAGAGGAACGAUACAUCACUGAAUCAAUGAUGAACUGACUUUAACUGAAAACUGAGUGUUUACUUUUGUCCCUUUGCAUUAUUACACACUAUUUUCCUAUUUAAUACUGUUAAGCUGAUAUGAUGCAGUAUUUGAUCAAUAUGACAGGCUUAUUACUCAUAAUACAUGGAAAAUACAGCUGCAAAGGGACUUUGCUUUUCCAUUUGAAAUUUGGCAGUCACUGUGCAUUCAUGAAAACUGAAACAGUAAUUUUUGUUCAGUGUUUUUGAAACAGUGUUUUUAUUCAAUAUUUGCAAUUGUGUUUGGAUUAUGUCACAAUGUGUCUUUAUCUCAUUUCCUUUUCAAAAUUGUCCUUCCAUAGACAGGCUCUAUAACAGAGUACACUGCUCUCAGGUGUAGAUCUUUGCUUCAGAGCUUAAGUGUUUGACAAUAGUACACCCAAAAAUGAAAAUUGUCAUUAAUUAUUCACCCUGGUCUGAAACCUCUCGAAUUUCAAUUUGUGUUCUGAAGAUGAACGAAGGUCUUACAGGUUUGUAACGACAUGAAGUUGAGUAAUAAAUGACAGAAUUUUCAUUUUUGGGUGAACUAUAUGUUGAACUACCCUAAGCAGUGUACAUCUACCUACAUGGGAGUCUUUAUAUACUUGAUAUAAAUUUAAGGACAUCUUUAAAUGAUUUUACAUUUAAAUUU